This 1199-nucleotide long non-coding RNA is filed under the name Marmota monax (woodchuck). The record is from RNAcentral. Lineage: Eukaryota; Metazoa; Chordata; Mammalia; Rodentia; Sciuridae.
AACUAUCCCUUACAAAUUAAAAAGUAAAUGUGCAUUUUUCUUAGAAAAUUCUGAUCAUGUUGUAUAUGCAGUUAUAUAGCCUUUUUGCCCUUUGUAAUAUCUUGUGGGUAUUUUCUGUGUUCUUCAAUAGUCUUCAGUAAUUUCAUUAAGCUGCUCAUUGUUGCAUACCUAAACAGCCCAUAAAUAUCAUGCUACUCCAUUGAUAGACAUUGUGGGUGCUAUAACAGCACUUUAAUGAACCUCUUGGUCCCCAUUUUUGCAUCUUUUUUUAAAGAUUCCUUUUCUAGGCACGUCCAUCACAGUGUUUGUCCUCAGUUUUUGUCCUUUAUAAGGGAAACUGACACACCACUGGUCAGCAGCUAUGGGCUGGCUAUCUCCUAAUAUUAGCCCUGCUGAUUUGGGCCAAGGGAGGGACACCUGAUCCAAGAGCAACCAAUCCACAGACAGAUGGAAUAACUCUUACUUAAAUAGUUUGGAAAGGUAAUCUGGCCAGAUUCCCCUAUGGAGAGUUCAAACAAGGAAAAACUGAGAGUUAAGAAGUAAUGUUGCCAGUAGUUGACUGGGGUUGUAAAAACUGGACAAGCAGGAGUUAGAUGGUAGAGAAAAGACAGAGCAGAGAGGAGGCUAACAGUUCUAAGGGGAAAAGCAGCACACUGAGAAUCCCCUGCUGUUCCAGGGCAGCCCAAACCCACACCUGCUCCUAGGUCUGUGCAAUUCCCAAGGUUAGGAUGUUCCCAGUUUUCUGGGUUCCCUCAUCUAAUUAGCCUCUUGGUGUUUUCUGAAAUAAUUUGAAUGAAUACACUUUCAUCUAUGAUAACCUACUGGGCACACUCUUACAGGUAGACUUAGAUGGCCAAAAAACAAGAAUAUGUUCUUGAUGGAUGUGCUAAAUUGCUUUUCAAACAUGUAAACUUAUACUCCUAACAACCCACGAGUAAAGUCAUUUUGAUUUGUUUUCUGUACUAAUGUUGAUAAAAGUUCAAGGUGCACCCAAUACCUGGCUUCCACUAUUUGUUUUGUCACUGCUCUCUACAGGAUCCCAAGCCAGCCCACUCAAACACCUAGGGUCCAGUCUCAUCCUGUCGUUAAUCCAAGUACUUGUCAGGUUCCAUUUGUUUUGUAUUUUUCCUCACUUUUUAAAAUUGGUGCAUUAUAGUUGUACAUACUGAUGAGAUCUGUUGUUAUAUAUUCAUACAUGC